UUUCCGUAGGUGAACCGGCGGAAGGAUCAUUAAAGAGUAAGGGUCUCCGGGCCCGAUCUCCAACCCUUUGUUUAACUACCAUGUUGCUUUGGCGGGCCCGUCUCACGACCGCCGGAAGUUUGGCUUCGACCAAACUUCUGGCCCGUGCCCGUCAGUGGCCCCUUCAAAUUCUUGAUCAAGUAUGAUGUCUUAGUUAAAAACUUAAUAGUUAAAACUUUCAACAACGGAUCUCUUGGUUCUG
RNAcentral lists this unclassified non-coding RNA (241 nucleotides) under plant metagenome. RNAcentral's name for it is "partial contains small subunit ribosomal RNA, internal transcribed spacer 1, and 5.8S ribosomal RNA". The record is from RNAcentral.